UGUCUGAAAAAUAAUAAAUACAUAUUUUUUACCUAAAUGUUACGGUGACACUGCUUACUAGUAAAAUAUACAUACACAUAAUUAUUAUUAAUAAGUUCGAAAAACAACCAGGAAAAAGCAGGAAAGCAGGAAAAUAUUAGAACAAUUAUGUUACAAUUUACAAAAAGAACAUCGAGAUAUUUCUUUCAUGGAAUUUCUACUACACCAAUCAAACAUCAAUCUACACUUGUGAAAUUAAGAAAACUUCAAGCAGAUUUUCAAUGUGAAAAUGGAAAACCAAUUUGGCUAAAAGGUGGUUUAAGUGACAGGAUCCUGUAUGGAACAACUGUGGUUCUGUGUUAUAUUGGUGUAUUGAUGACUCUUGUUACAAUUUAUGAU
Molecule: long non-coding RNA, 378 nt
Organism: Vanessa tameamea
Lineage: Eukaryota; Metazoa; Arthropoda; Insecta; Lepidoptera; Nymphalidae
Exons: 3
Source: RefSeq, a predicted model, not a curated record